Molecule: ribosomal RNA, 896 nt
Filed under: uncultured archaeon
Lineage: Archaea
Description: bacterial SSU rRNA
Rfam family: Archaeal small subunit ribosomal RNA
Source: RNAcentral
GUUGGAUCUUGUCGGACCUGAACGUGCUAUCGGAUCAAUCACAGCCGAUGCGAGUCAUUGUAGCUAUCAAGGCAGACGGGUCCAGUAACGCGUAGUCAGUCCUACCUAUGGACGGGGAUAACAUUGGGGAAACUUGAGAAUGAUACCCGAUAGAACACUAUACUUGAAAUGAUUUGAUGUUCCAAAUAAUUUAUUGCCGUAAGAUGGGGACUGCGGCCUAUCAGUUUGUUGGUGAGGUAAUGGCCUACCAAGACUAUUACAGGUACGGGCUCUGAGAGGAGUGCCCGGAGAUGGGUACUGAGACACGGACCCAGGCCCUAUGGGGCGCAGCAGGCGAGAAAACUUUGCAAUGUGCGAAAGCACGACAAGGUUAAUCCGAGUGGUUUCUGCUAAAGGAACCUUUUGACAGUCCUAGAAACACUGUUGAAUAAGGGGUGGGCAAGUUCUGGUGUCAGCCGCCGCGGUAAAACCAGCACCUCAAGUGGUCAGGAUGAUUAUUGGGCCUAAAGCAUCCGUAGCCGGCUCUGUAAGUUUUCGGUUAAAUCUGUACGCUUAACGUACAGGCUGCUGGGAAUACUGCAGAGCUAGGGAGUGGGAGAGGUAGACGGUACUCGGGAGGAAGUGGUAAAAUGCUUUGAUCUCUCGAUGACCACCUGUGGCGAAGGCGGUCUACCAGAACACGUCCGACGGUGAGGGAUGAAAGCUGGGGGAGCAAACCGGAUUAGAUACCCGGGUAGUCCCAGCUGUAAACUAUGCAAACUCAAUGAUGCACUGGCUUAUGGCCAGUGCAGUGUUGCAGGGAAGCCGUUAAGUUUGCCGCCUGGGAAGUACGUACGCAAGUAUGAAACUUAAAGGAAUUGGCGGGGGAGCACCACAAGGGGUGAAGCCUGCGGUUC